GACGUAGGGCGCGAGCGUUGUCCGGAUUUAUUGGGCGUAAAGAGCUCGUAGGCGGCUUGUUGCGUCGUCCGUGAAAACUUGUGGCUUAACCACAGGCUGGCGGUCGAUACGGGCAGGCUGGAGUUCGGUAGGGGAGACUGGAAUUCCUGGUGUAGCGGUGAAAUGCGCAGAUAUCGAGAGGAACACCUGCGGCGAAGGCGGGUUGCUGGGCCGACACUGACGCUGAUGCGCGAAAGCCAGGGGAGCGAACGGG
Molecule: ribosomal RNA, 253 nt
Filed under: uncultured bacterium
Lineage: Bacteria
Description: partial 16S ribosomal RNA
Rfam family: Bacterial small subunit ribosomal RNA
Source: RNAcentral